RNAcentral lists this transfer RNA (72 nucleotides) under Paragonimus westermani. RNAcentral's name for it is "tRNA-Ser". It matches the Rfam family "tRNA". From Rfam's summary of the family: Transfer RNA (tRNA) molecules are approximately 80 nucleotides in length. Their secondary structure includes four short double-helical elements and three loops (D, anti-codon, and T loops). Lineage: Eukaryota; Metazoa; Platyhelminthes; Trematoda; Plagiorchiida; Troglotrematidae. The record is from RNAcentral.
GAGCUCGUGGCAUAAUGGUAGCGCGUCUGACUCGAGAUCAGAAGGUUGCGUGUUCGGUUCACGUCGGGCUCA